CCAAUAUAUAUGACCCACAGCAACUCAAAUUUGCGCAUUAACCACAAAAAUGAUCCAACCUUUUGGUGGAGUAAUGUUAGGAUUGAAAAAAACCCGAUUCAAAACUGGACUUGUAAAGUAUAACCACACACAGUCCAGGCAAUCACCAAUCAGCAUUCGAUCCAAAACGAACCAACAACGACAAUGAUCUGCCCCUACGCGACCAUAUGAAAUUGCAUUCAGACGCUCGCGAAGCCCGAGCUCUUACCUUCUUUUGCAGCUGAGAAAUCGACUCGUGCAUGAGCUGGUUCUGCAUAAGAUAAAAGAAAGAAGAAAGAGUCAAAAAGAAGGAAAGGGAUUCUCAUUUGCA
Rhodamnia argentea is the source of this 349-nucleotide long non-coding RNA. RefSeq lists it as uncharacterized. The record is from RefSeq and is a predicted model, not a curated record. NCBI's taxonomy places the organism in Eukaryota, Viridiplantae, Streptophyta, Magnoliopsida, Myrtales, Myrtaceae. The transcript has 2 exons.